RNAcentral lists this ribosomal RNA (467 nucleotides) under uncultured bacterium. Its description in RNAcentral is "partial 16S ribosomal RNA". It matches the Rfam family "Bacterial small subunit ribosomal RNA", at positions 28 to 507 of the family's 1533-position model. The record is from RNAcentral.
GAUGAACGCUGGCGGCGCGCCUAACACAUGCAAGUCGAACGAUUAAAGCACCUUCGGGUGUGUAUAAAGUGGCGAACGGCUGAGUAACACGUGGGCAACCUGCCCCUCUCAUUGGGAUAGCCACGGGAAACCGUGGAUAAUACCGAAUACUUCGGGACUUCCGCAUGGAAGACUCGAGAAAGCUCCGGCGGAGAGGGAUGGGCCCGCGGCCUGUUAGCUUGUUGGUGGGGUAAUGGCCUACCAAGGCAAUGAUGGGUAGCUGGGUUGAGAGACCGACCAGCCAGAUUGGGACUGAGAAACGGCCCAGACUCCUACGGGAGGCAGCAGUGGGGAAUCUUGCACAAUGGGCGAAAGCCUGAUGCAGCGACGCCGCGUGCGGGAUGAAGGCCUUCGGGUUGUAAACCGCUUUCAGCAGGGACGAGGCGAAAGUGACGGUACCUGCAGAAGAAGCCCCGGCUAACUACGUG